Physcomitrium patens is the source of this 2915-nucleotide non-coding RNA. NCBI's taxonomy places the organism in Eukaryota, Viridiplantae, Streptophyta, Bryopsida, Funariales, Funariaceae. The record is from RefSeq and is a predicted model, not a curated record.
AUAACUUGCGAAACAUCUUUCUGAUUGCACUGACAUGCUGGUUUAGGCGAAGACCCGGUCUGUUUUCCAUCUGCCACUCCUGCCAGCAAGUCCUACUUCAACUUCAAAGAAUCAAUGGUAGAGAGAAUUGGUGAUAGUUCAAUUGAAGGAGUCUUGCGCUUGUGGGAUGUGCGCUUAGCUUGAACGCAACGCCUCAGAAACAGUCCGCUUAUUCCAAAGCUUGGAACUAGUGUCAGCGAGCAAAGUUGAAAAGAAUGCAUCUACAAAAUCUAGAACCUAAAACGCUUUAUUGAUAUCUGCCACACGGCAGACAUGCAUGGCAUCAGACGUAGGUGCUAGCGCAAUUCUAGCCUUUAGACAUCGAUUUAACUUGCUAAGGGAAGUUAGCGAGACACGCAGAGGACACAAGUGACAAUAGAGCACCUCUUGAGCUACAGGGUGAGUCCAGCGCUCGGAACUGCAUGGACUUUGAAACACAACCUUAGCUGCAGUCUAGAUGGUGCCUGAUCGUCUGCCUCUCAUCAUCCUACUUCUUCGCUUUGUUGUCAAGGUAAUUCCAUUCGUGGUUUCAGGAGAGGCCGAUCCUCAGUGGACAUUACACUCUCAUGUGAAGUCGACUUUUUGCAGUGAGAGCAGUUGCAGAGAAGUUGACAAUUGCUAUAAAGGAGAGAAACAGGAGGGAGGCAUGGCAACUGCUGUAGCCUCAAACCCUCCGCAAUGCAAGGUUGGUGAAAUUAUUUCAAAGUUUGAAAGGAAAGGCUUUCAGAUCAUUGGACUCAAGCUCUUCAGGCCCCCAAAAGAACUCGUCGAGGCCCUGGAGGGCUCCAGCGUUGUGGCGGCGGCGCGGAAAUUCAUCGGCGCAACCAAUCCCUUGAAAGCAGAGCCAGGCACCAUCCGUGGUGAUUUCGCUAUCGACGUGGGAAGGAACGUCGUUCACGGAAGUGACAGCCCUGAGAAUGGUUUCCAGGAACUCGGCGAGAAUUCUAGGGCUUUGGUUUCACGAAGAUGAGCUCGUUGAGUGGGAGCAACAGUAACAAAUGACUCAGCUGGAACAAUGAAAGUAAUGAAUCGAAAUUUUGUUUUGAACUCAUUAUAUGGUCAUGCAACACAAAAUGAGUGGAGCGUUUAGAUCUCAAUUACUCUUGUCAGAAGUAUAGGAUUAAGUGUUUUGUCCAGUCUGGUGCAAUUUGAAUGGACGAUUGAUGAAGUUCACGAGCUGAAGACUGUAGAAAGAAGUGGAUUUCGCACGCCGUUUGAGGGAUAUGCAAAUAGCUUAUUACAAGGGACAAGAGAUUAGUUCCCAUGCAACUUAAGUAUUAAAGCGAGUUUUAUAAGAUUGUGUAUCAUGAGUACAACAUGAUGAUUAGAAUACAGAGAACAACAAUCGACCUGCAAUUCGACCUUUCAGAUUUCAACAGUUUCUCGACGAUGAAGACAUGAUAGUCAUCAGUUGACAGCACCGAAUGCCGGUAAGGAAUCACAAGGAUUCAUGCCACUGAUCAGGGGCGAUGACCAUGACUAACUUCUUUCGACGUAACACAGGCGGCAGAUGUCACAACGCUGCAUCUACACAUGUUGCCAGCUCUGUCUGCGCCGCUUAUGCAGCUCCUGUGACGAUCUCGGAACCAUCUCAAGGUGGCUUGCACCAAACUCCUCUGCCGCGCCUUGUAGCGCGUCCUGUUGCCCGCAACGGGUUGUUGCAGCCGUGGUGGAGGUGUCUCUAUAGCUGUGGAAGACGACGGUGUGUUAAUGUGAUCGAUGUUCCUGCUGGAGGCAGGAACGUGGGCGAAGUUCUCGGGUAUGUCGGAGAGAUUGAUGUUGCGUCUAGACUUUCUCUCCAAGCUUCUCUUAGCAUGAAGUCCAGCCCUGGCAUUCUCUAAAAUCGCGUCAACCUGAUCAAAUAUAUCAUCAUCCUCAUCAUGCACUUUUGUCGACAUCUUAAAUUCAGGAUAGGUUACAACCACCUAAGUGACGAUGCGAGGUGAUGCGAGAGAGCUGCGGCGCCGCAAACAGCGGCUGCUAAAGGGAUUUGAUAAUUUGACACUACAACAGAGUUGCUGGCUCGCACGAUAUCUAUGUGACUUACGGUAAAUGAUGCAAGAGGCGCCUAGUGCCAAUUUGAUUCCAGCGUUGAUGCAAUUGCACAAGAUGUCCACCCAUCAUCCAUCCCAAUCAGUGGUGAACCCAAUUCAGUGGUGAUCAUCCGAUAAGGGCUUCGAGCCACAUAACGUCAAGAUUUUUAACUAGCACUCAGAGACUGCACAGAUUCCAGCGAUCGAUCGGAGCUACAACGAAGGGCAUGUCGCAGGAAAUCAGAUGCACACUAAAAACGUGCAAACAGAGCUAGUCAACACCAGAACUACGUCUCUCCUGAGAAACAGAUUCCAACACCUCAGCAUAAUCUUCGUCUGUACCAAAGCAUGCUCGAAAGCUAUGUACAAUGCAUGUAUCAACCUCCAUUUCCCAGCUCGCACAACUAUGUUAAGACCAAGAUGGCAGUGAAUGGACUGCUGCCAAUAUUUCAUUCUAAAAAGCCACAACCCUCUCAGCAAGUACGGAUUCUCAGGAAACGGAUGCAUGUGACCUGCAGAAGUUGGCGCUGCAAUAUUGUCGAGAGAGCUCCGCAAGUACUCUGACAAUCCUAGAAACGAAGACCCACUUGUAACCUGCAUGCUUAAGCUCCCGACCUAUUUAAUGACACUUGGUCUGUUUAGCAAAUCGUAUCAUUCUCCACUCUCGGUCAAGUCCAUACGUUCACCAGUAAAUCGGUGUGGUAGUUGACCAGCACAACUCCACAAUUAUGUCGCAUGAGUCUAUGCAGCUUACUGCGGUUGAGUUCGUGUAAAAAUACAUUUGGAAUGACCACUCAGAAUGUUUCUAAAUAUCCAUUUCAAAUUAAAUCCAUCGUGAAACCA